GCCUCUGUAGUUCAACGGAUAGAACGUUGGUUUCCUAAACCGAAAAUAAGGGUUCGAUUCCCUUCGGAGGUACUA
RNAcentral lists this transfer RNA (75 nucleotides) under Bacteroidales bacterium KA00251. RNAcentral describes it as "tRNA-Arg". It matches the Rfam family "tRNA". Rfam says of the family: Transfer RNA (tRNA) molecules are approximately 80 nucleotides in length. The record is from RNAcentral. Lineage: Bacteria; Pseudomonadati; Bacteroidota; Bacteroidia; Bacteroidales.